UACGGAGGGUCCGAGCGUUUUUCGGAAUUAUUGGGCGUAAAGAGCGUGUAGGCGGCCUAUUAAGUUGAAAGUGAAAUCCCAAAGCUUAACUUUGGAACUGCUUUCAAAACUAAUUGGCUAGAGUUCGGUAGGAGAUGAUGGAAUUCUUGGUGUAGGGGUGUAAUUCUUAGAUAUCAGGAGGAACACCGGUGGCGAAAGCGAUCAUCUGGGCCAUAUCUGACGCUGAGGCGCGAAAGCGUGGGGAGCAAACAGG
Molecule: unclassified non-coding RNA, 253 nt
Filed under: uncultured Rickettsiales bacterium
Lineage: Bacteria; Pseudomonadati; Pseudomonadota; Alphaproteobacteria; Rickettsiales
Description: contains 16S-23S intergenic spacer region
Rfam family: Bacterial small subunit ribosomal RNA
Source: RNAcentral